AUUGAACGCUGGCGGCAGGCUUAACACAUGCAAGUCGAGCGAGCGGCGGACGGGUGAGUAAUGUCUGGGAAACUGCCUGAUGGAGGGGGAUAACUACUGGAAACGGUAGCUAAUACCGCAUACCAUCAGAUGUGCCCAGAUGGGAUUAGCUAGUAGGUGGGGUAAUGGUUCACCUAGGCGACGAUCCCUAGCUGGUCUGAGAGGAUGACCAGCCAAACUGGAACUGAGACACGGUCCAGACUCAUACGGGAGGCAGCAGUGGGGAAUAUUGCACAAUGGGCGCAAGCCUGAUUCAGCCAUGCCGGGUGUGUAAAGAAGGCCUUCGGGUUGUAAAGUACUUUCAGCGAGGAGGCGUUACUCGCAGAAGAAGCACCGGCUAACUCCGUGCCAGCAGCCGCGGUAAUAC
Molecule: ribosomal RNA, 406 nt
Filed under: uncultured bacterium
Lineage: Bacteria
Description: partial 16S ribosomal RNA
Rfam family: Bacterial small subunit ribosomal RNA
Source: RNAcentral